UACGGAGGGUGCAAGCAUUAAUCGGAAUUACUGGGCGUAAAGCGUGCGCAGGCGGUUUGUUAAGUCUGCUGUGAAAUCCCCGAGCUCAACUUGGGAAUUGCAGUGGAUACUGGCAAGCUGGAGUACGGUAGAGGAAGGUGGAAUUCCCGGUGUAGCAGUGAAAUGCGUAGAGAUCGGGAGGAACACCAGUGGCGAAGGCGGCCUCUGGACCAGUACUGACGCUCAUGCACGAAAGCGUGGGGAGCAAACAGG
Molecule: ribosomal RNA, 252 nt
Filed under: uncultured bacterium
Lineage: Bacteria
Description: partial 16S ribosomal RNA
Rfam family: Bacterial small subunit ribosomal RNA
Source: RNAcentral